CCUACGGGGGGCAGCAGUGAGGAAUAUUGGUCAAUGGGCGCAAGCCUGAACCAGCCAAGUCGCGUGAGGGAUGACGGUCCUAUGGAUUGUAAACCUCUUUUGUCGGGGAGCAAGGCCCGCCACGUGUGGCGGGAAGGAGAGUACCCGAAGAAAAAGCAUCGGCUAACUCCGUGCCAGCAGCCGCGGUAAUACGGAGGAUGCGAGCGUUAUCCGGAUUUAUUGGGUUUAAAGGGUGCGUAGGCGGAAGGUUAAGUCAGCGGUAAAAUGUCGGUGCCCAACACCGGCCUGCCGUUGAAACUGGUCUUCUUGAGUGAGCGAGAAGUAUGCGGAAUGUGUGGUGUAGCGGUGAAAUGCAUAGAUAUCACGCAGAACUCCGAUUGCGAAGGCAGCAUACCGGCGCUCAACUGACGCUGAGGCACGAAAGCGUGGGGAUCGAACAGGAUUAGAUACCCUAGUAGUC
Molecule: ribosomal RNA, 460 nt
Filed under: uncultured bacterium
Lineage: Bacteria
Description: partial 16S ribosomal RNA
Rfam family: Bacterial small subunit ribosomal RNA
Source: RNAcentral